AGUGAACGCUGGCGGUAGGCCUAACACAUGCAAGUCGAACGGCAGCACAGUAAGAGCUUGCUCUUACGGGUGGCGAGUGGCGGACGGGUGAGGAAUACAUCGGAAUCUACUUUUUCGUGGGGGAUAACGUAGGGAAACUUACGCUAAUACCGCAUACGACCUACGGGUGAAAGCAGGGGAUCUUCGGACCUUGCGCGAUUGAAUGAGCCGAUGUCGGAUUAGCUAGUUGGCGGGGUAAAGGCCCACCAAGGCGACGAUCCGUAGCUGGUCUGAGAGGAUGAUCAGCCACACUGGAACUGAGACACGGUCCAGACUCCUACGGGAGGCAGCAGUGGGGAAUAUUGGACAAUGGGCGCAAGCCUGAUCCAGCCAUACCGCGUGGGUGAAGAAGGCCUUCGGGUUGUAAAGCCCUUUUGUUGGGAAAGAAAAGCAGCAGGUUAAUACCCCGCUGUUCUGACGGUACUCAAAGAAUAAACACCGGCUAACUUCGU
Molecule: ribosomal RNA, 491 nt
Filed under: uncultured bacterium
Lineage: Bacteria
Description: partial 16S ribosomal RNA
Rfam family: Bacterial small subunit ribosomal RNA
Source: RNAcentral